Molecule: unclassified non-coding RNA, 400 nt
Filed under: uncultured fungus
Lineage: Eukaryota; Fungi
Description: sequence contains ITS1
Source: RNAcentral
UAUGACCCCACAGAUCGCAAGCAGGCAUGGGAGAAGCUUUUGCACAGCGACAAGAUUCCCUUAGGGGUUAUUUUCGAAGGCCAGCGCCCGACCUAUGAAGAUCUGCGACCCACGAGCUCCCGUCAGCCCAUUGCUCUGCAAUCAAUAACCGGGGUCGAUUACUCAGAGGUCAUGGAAGAGUUCUUCUAACUAUGGGUCGCGCAUGGAAUCCCCGAGAGCAUGCCGGUCGAUCCUGGCGCCCUGAGGAUUUCAGACGAGGGAGGAUGAGGCAGUGAUUGUCAACCAACUGAAACUGUUAGCCGGAGGCGAAGCAGGAGACGGCGUAUUUGCCGUCUCUGAUAUGUUGGCGCUACUGUUUGCCAGGGCAGGGCUGGAGGUGCUGACCACACAGACCUAUUCA